AAAUCGUAACAAGGUUUCCGUAGGUGAACCUGCGGAAGGAUCAUUAACACGUAUCCAAACGUUUAACCCCCUGUGAACCUUCAAUGUGCUCGUACGCUUUGUCAAAGCGAGGCAAUCCCUGGUAAAUUAUCGCCGAACAGUUUUGAUUCUGGGACUUCCUUAAAGAGUGUACAUGUGCGCGAGGCAAGUGGCCUGGCAUUCCCAAUUGUGCGCAAUAAAAAACGAACAACAGAAAACAAUGGAUAUCUUGGUUCUC
RNAcentral lists this unclassified non-coding RNA (256 nucleotides) under fungal sp. RNAcentral describes it as "partial internal transcribed spacer region". The stretch from base 1 to 46 matches the Rfam family "Eukaryotic small subunit ribosomal RNA", at positions 1786 to 1831 of the family's 1831-position model. The record is from RNAcentral. Lineage: Eukaryota; Fungi.